GAUUGGAAGUUGGAAGCAAUCCUAACCUAACAGAAAAAAAAAAAGUGUAUAGUUUUAAAAUGUGGAGUUGCAAGGAAGCAACAAAUGAAGGUUUAAUUGUUUAGGGAAAGAUUAUCAGCACUGGAGAUGCAUCUGGUGUGGAGAGAGGGCUGGAAAAGCCCAAGGAGCAAAGCAAUGCCAUCCACCCAAGAGUGGUGGGGAAGCAAUAAAUAGGAUAAUAUGAGAGAAAUUGAUAUGGAUAAAUAAAUAAAUAUAGCCCUUGCCCACUCUGGACAUGGUUGGUGUUCACUCCACACUGAGGGUCACCAGGGCAGGGUGGCACAAAAGGGAGAGGAGAUGCCCAGGGGAAACAGGCAUGGAAAACCCAUCCAUGCAUCCCAGGAAUAUUUAUGCCCAAUAUCUGCAUCCUGGACAUUUCACAUGAAUCCUGAGUGACAGCCCCAUGCUGAGGGACCCCUUUGACAAAGUUUGUAACAAGGAAAAAAAAAGAGAAUAUAUUUAUUGCAAAUAUAGCUGUGUUAUAGGCCAGGCUUUAGCCUGUCUUAUAGACAAACACAAAAUUCCUCUCACCUUCACACUGCUGCUCCAUCAGUGCACCAACACCUGACGUGCACCAAUUUAAAUCAAGGUCUGACCUCUACAGGGAAGAAGUGGCUUCAAAAGGUAAUUAAAAUAAUUUAAUCUCUUUUUCUUUUUUUCUUCUGCACUAUGAUUUAAUUGUAUUGCCACUAAAUACCAGUCUAGACAAGGUCUUGUUAAAAGCUUUAAAAUCCCCGAAUAGUUUAAUCUAUUAGUGGUGGUGAGUAGCUGUUGGCAUGUGGACCAAUCUCACACAAAGCUCUCUUAUAGUAGUGCUCCCAAACCCUAUCACAAGGAAUAAAAAAACACCCAGGAAGACAAAAUGAGGGGGAAAAGAGCAUUCUCCAGCUAGAAAAACAAGCUACUAUUACCAAAUAUGAAAUCUGUAAUUAAGCAAAUCACAAAUUGUCAAACAGCUAUGUCAACAAAAUGCCCAACCUGCAGUUGUGGGGACACAGGGACAGUGGUGAUGCUAAAAAGGUGUCCAUCCUUGUAGUAUAGUGCAGGAAAAGGAGAGAGCCAGGUCAGUGGGCACAUGGAAACCCCUGGGAGAGGACACACUGCCCUCAGGCUGGAGUGUCACCUGCUGGUGGCUGGUCCUGAGAAGUGAUUCUGGGGGCAGGCAGAGGCAGCACCACCCCUGGGCUGAGCCUGGGUGUGCUUUUGUGAGCUCCAAACCCCUGUCAGAAGGGGCUGACCACAGAACGAACGUGUUCCUCAUGGUUUUGCUGUUACUUCUCACACCUGGGCUUCUCACACCGGUGUUCCUCACACCUGUACUCCCUUUGCCCUCUGAACACAGCCCUCACCCUCUCUGCUUUUCCAGUGCACCUUAUUCUCAGUGGCCCAUUUUUAAGAAAAGGGAAGAUGCCUCCAGUGGCACAGGGGAUACGAAAGGGUUUGCAUGAGCUUCCAGCCCGUCAGUGCCAGAAAAAAAUGGGUUUUUGUCAAUACUAGGAGAAAAUAACCUAGUGGUAGAUAAUUGCCCUCGUUUGUCAGUCUGGGCUGAUGACUUUCCCGUUUCAUUUCCUCCUGUGUAAUGUUACAGGGGACAUAUAUGAGAUAUUCAGAAAAGAGUGAGGCAGGGAAGUCUGCAGGAGUGUUUAGUGGGAGGUCAGGAAUUUUUAAGAGGUAUUAUUACAAGGCGGUGUGGUUUGGGUCAUGUUUCUUGUAGACAUCUUGUCAGGAAACUUUUUGAAUAAUAAAUUAUAAUCUUUUUAUAUAUUGUACAAGCUUAUUAACCUUAAUCUUCAAACAUAAAACUGAAUUUUGAAAAUAUCAUCAGACAAGCUCAGAAGCUAAACAAAUAACAUAGAAACAUAAAAAAGAGAAGAGAAAUAAAACAUAUGCUGGCCAGAGUUUUAGAGACAGUAGCCACAGCACAGCAGAUCUUAAUUAGCAGCUACCUGCAGUGGCAGUGGCCUGGGAUGAAAUGUUUUGAUGUGUGUAAAUGUUUCUAUAAAACAGUUGAAGCUUUCUUAGAUCCUGUAUCACUUUUUCCCUAAGCGUUGCGGUUUUCCAGCAUGGACAUUUCACAGACUGGGAUCUCAGGAAGAUCUAAAGUCUUUGCUUUCUGUUUUUGUUUCUCCAAUCGUAAAUUGAGGAUACUUACAUUUAUUUACUAUGAAAGGCUCUUAGUGCUUCCAAAAACCCAGUAUUUAAUGACUGGGUAGGACCAGCAGUUGUGGUAGCAAUAGUUGAAGGCACAAUCUUGCCAUAAAUCCUGCUCACACUCAGACUUGAAAAGUAGCUCCAUAUUAAGGGAUACAGAAUUCCUGUCUGAAAUAUUUCUGCAGUGCCAUCUUUUGUUAAAAAUAUUCUUGAGCUUUACCAACACAGACCUUUUCAGAAAUAUAAAAUGAGCAAUUUCUGUUCAUUCUGCCCAAUGCCUCCUGCAAGUGGCAGGGCACUGCUGAGUCUGACUCAGCCAAGACUUCACAAACUGAAUUCUUAAGGGUGGCUUGGGACCAAAGCUCCAGCUCUUCAGGGAUUUCCUCAUGGUGGGACCUCAGCUCUGGUUUGCAUGUGAGGAAAUUUGCUUUAGCAUCACCUCCCCCCUUCCAGAUGGGUCAGGAUUGCCCAAAAUCAUGGCAAAAAGCAGUGGUGGAACCACUGACAUCACUUUGUUUCCCAAAAAGACAUGGGAUGAUGAGGUGGGUCCUGAAAAGCUUUUGGAGAAGGAGGAGAUGCCCAGCACCGUGCUCAUCCCUUGUUCAUCCCAAGGGACUGACUUCAUGGCACAAAAAGAGAUGGAAAAGCAGGACCAAUGCAGUCUGUGAGUCAGGACUUCAUGGUAAGGGCUGAUAAUGUCUGAUAAAGUCAGGAGAAAGUCCACCUUUCUCCUGCUCAAGCCAGGCAGGUGACUGUUGAUUCUGCUUAAAGGAAUGUCUGCAAAUUACUGGGAUUCCCUUUAAUUCAUGUGCACUGUGAAUCUAAAUGGGAGAGAAAAUCUAUUUAAGUGUGUAUACGUGUGCCCCACCUUCUGUGCCCGUGAUGCUCAUUUCUGGGCUCUUAUUUCUGCCCUGAACUCCCUGGAGUCCAAGAUGAAGGAUCUUGUCUUGUAGCCCACACCUCCACCCACAUCCCCAGGGAGGUCAGAGGAUGCAGAGGAUGCACCACAUCCUGUCCUGAUUUACACCCUCCACAGUCCAGCCCUGCCCAGGCUGGCACCUGCUGAGCAGGUUGUAUUUAUAGAGUAGAGAUAUAAAUCAGGGAGCUUUCCAAGGUAAAGAGUACCAAAAGGAUUUGACCCUAGGUACUAAUUUCCUGUCUUAAUCUGUAGUCUAAUAGAGUGUUCUUGUAAAAAUCAACUUUUCUUAAAAGGUGCCUUUUUCAAACUCUUGAUGGAGGUCUGUGAAGUGAAUCUGAUUGUGAAUCUCCAGCCUCAGAGUGAGGGUGAAUGUGAUUCAGAACUGCAGAUCAAGCACUGCUCUGCAAACUGACACUCUUGAUGAAGCAAUGAGCCCGAGCUGCCCGAAAGCAAAGUGAAGAGGCUACAAGUCCAUAAAUUUGCUGUUAUCUGAGUGCCUUUCCAAAAGUUUUCAGCACCCUGAACCAUCUGAGCUCACCCAAUAAUGGUGAUCACUUCAGCUGAUCAGUUCCUAGGCAGCCUCCACCAAGAUGUAUUUGGCCCCUUGCAGAGACGCUCUGGCUCCAGCCAUUCAAGCAGUUUCCUAUCCCUUGACUUCAAAACCAAGACCAAGAACCAGGAGCUCUGCCAUCACUGGGACAGAACACACACACCCAGGACAGAUAUUCCUCUGCGCAAACAACUCUGGUACUGAGACAAGGCAGUGAAAAUCAAGGUCAUGACUCUAGAAGGCUCAUUUUAUGCAGCUGGAGGCUCAUUUAGCUUCUUAACCAUGGAUUUUGAUCAUUCUGGUCACCGGACUUUAAAUGAGUGACCCUGCAGAUUUAUAAGGCAUUCUGCUCAGCAGUCUUUUAAAUAGUCAUAUAUGAAAGAGCCAUGCUACUGGUUUGGACUUGGUCCCAUCCUCGGAACGACUCCGCA
Passer domesticus (house sparrow) is the source of this 4090-nucleotide long non-coding RNA. RefSeq lists it as uncharacterized. The record is from RefSeq and is a predicted model, not a curated record. The transcript is spliced from 7 exons. Lineage: Eukaryota; Metazoa; Chordata; Aves; Passeriformes; Passeridae.